UACGGAGGGUGCAAGCGUUGUCCGGAUUCACUGGGCUUAAAGGGUGCGUAGGUGGCCCGGUAAGUCAGUGGUGAAAUCUCCGGGCUUAACUCGGAAACUGCCAUUGAUACUGUCUGUCUUGAAUACCGUGGAGGUCAGCGGAAUAUGUCAUGUAGCGGUGAAAUGCUUAGAUAUGACAUAGAACACCAAUUGCGAAGGCAGCUGGCUGCACGAAUACUGACACUGAUGCACGAAAGCGUGGGGAGCAAACAGG
Molecule: ribosomal RNA, 253 nt
Filed under: uncultured bacterium
Lineage: Bacteria
Description: partial 16S ribosomal RNA
Rfam family: Bacterial small subunit ribosomal RNA
Source: RNAcentral